GACAUUAUUAAUGUUUUCUCAUUCCCAUUUUAUUGUUAAACUUUAAUGAACUAACCGUUACUGAUAUUUCAGAGUAACAGAACAUAUUAAUGGCCUACAGCUGUAUUUAAUAGUGAGCAAAAAGUAAAUUAAAGAUGUGUCAUCCUUUACAUUAUGUAGCUUUUAUGUAAAAUAACCUCCUUUAGGUGAGAGACAUUGUUUUUGUCUAUCCCAACUCCCUCAUUCUGCUCUAUAUUCAGACAUUGUGUGGUUUUGUCAUUUGUUACCUCUUUC
Non-coding RNA from Pelobates cultripes (western spadefoot toad), 273 nucleotides. The record is from the annotation of a GenBank genome assembly. NCBI's taxonomy places the organism in Eukaryota, Metazoa, Chordata, Amphibia, Anura, Pelobatidae.